Molecule: non-coding RNA, 453 nt
Organism: Pelobates cultripes (western spadefoot toad)
Lineage: Eukaryota; Metazoa; Chordata; Amphibia; Anura; Pelobatidae
Source: the annotation of a GenBank genome assembly
AUGUAAAGUCAUUAAUUAAUAAAUACCAUUACAAAGAGGUAGCCAACACUGUUUUUAAUUUUUUUUUUUUUAAUUGGGGUAGCCCCCAAAAUAUUGGGACAUAUAAAAAAAGCGAGCAGCAGCAGGGUGAGAAUGCCAAAAGCGCGCACAGACAGCCUGUACUUUCUGCAGCAGCUCUGAUAUAUCUGGGUAUACACCGUAGCAUCACAAGGGCCACCCGGAACUGUCUCAACUCCCAUCAAGCCAAGUUCCCGGAGGAGAUAACCCAGCUCGUCAUGCUAGAGCACUUUUUCAAUGUACUCCUCAACGAGAAGACGACUCAUUCGUAUGUCAAUCCAUAUCAACUUUCGAUGCUAUUGACUGCGCCUACCAUGGUGACCACGGGUAAUGGGGAAUCAGGGUUCAAUUCCGUACAGGGACCCUGACAAACGGCUACCACAUGCAAGGAAGGUA